GAUGAACGCUGGCGGCGUGCUUAACACAUGCAAGUCGAACGGGAUCCCAGGAGCUUGCUCCUGGGUGAGAGUGGCGAACGGGUGAGUAAUGCGUGACCGACCUGCCCCAUACACCGGAAUAGCUCCUGGAAACGGGUGGUAAUGCCGGAUGCUCCAGUUGACCGCAUGGUCCUCUGGGAAAGCUUUUGCGGUAUGGGAUGGGGUCGCGUCCUAUCAGCUUGAUGGCGGGGUAACGGCCCACCAUGGCUUCGACGGGUAGCCGGCCUGAGAGGGCGACCGGCCACAUUGGGACUGAGAUACGGCCCAGACUCCUACGGGAGGCAGCAGUGGGGAAUAUUGCACAAUGGGCGCAAGCCUGAUGCGGCGACGCCGCGUGCGGGAUGACGGCCUUCGGGUUGUAAACCGCUUUUGACUGGGAGCAAGCCCUUCGGGGUGAGUGU
Molecule: ribosomal RNA, 440 nt
Filed under: uncultured bacterium
Lineage: Bacteria
Description: bacterial SSU rRNA
Rfam family: Bacterial small subunit ribosomal RNA
Source: RNAcentral